UCACCAUCUUUCGGCUGAGA
RNAcentral lists this small nuclear RNA (20 nucleotides) under Arabidopsis thaliana (thale cress). Its description in RNAcentral is "snRNA_05762". The record is from RNAcentral. Lineage: Eukaryota; Viridiplantae; Streptophyta; Magnoliopsida; Brassicales; Brassicaceae.